GAUGAACGCUGGCGGCGUGCCUAAUACAUGCAAGUCGAGCGAACAGACGAGGAGCUUGCUCCUCUGACGUUAGCGGCGGACGGGUGAGUAACACGUGGAUAACCUACCUAUAAGACUGGGAUAACUUCGGGAAACCGGAGCUAAUACCGGAUAAUAUAUUGAACCGCAUGGUUCAAUAGUGAAAGACGGUUUUGCUGUCACUUAUAGAUGGAUCCGCGCCGCAUUAGCUAGUUGGUAAGGUAACGGCUUACCAAGGCAACGAUGCGUAUCCGACCUGAUAGGGGGAUCGGCCACACUGGAACUGGGACACGGUCCAGACUCCUACGGGAGGCAGCAGUAGGGAAUCUUCCGCAAUGGGCGAAAGCCUGACGGAGCAACGCCGCGUGAGUGAUGAAGGUCUUCGGAUCGUAAAACUCUGUUAUUAGUGAAGAACAAAUGUGUAAGUAACUAUGCACGUCUUGACGGUACCUAAUCAGAAAGCCACGGCUAACUACGUG
RNAcentral lists this ribosomal RNA (497 nucleotides) under uncultured bacterium. RNAcentral's name for it is "partial 16S ribosomal RNA". It matches the Rfam family "Bacterial small subunit ribosomal RNA", at positions 28 to 507 of the family's 1533-position model. The record is from RNAcentral.